This 436-nucleotide ribosomal RNA is filed under the name Pseudomonas sp. RNAcentral describes it as "bacterial SSU rRNA". It matches the Rfam family "Bacterial small subunit ribosomal RNA", at positions 60 to 491 of the family's 1533-position model. Lineage: Bacteria; Pseudomonadati; Pseudomonadota; Gammaproteobacteria; Pseudomonadales; Pseudomonadaceae. The record is from RNAcentral.
AGUCGAGCGGAUGACAGGAGCUUGCUCCUGGAUUCAGCGGCGGACGGGUGAGUAAUGCCUAGGAAUCUGCCUGGUAGUGGGGGACAACGUUUCGAAAGGAACGCUAAUACCGCAUACGUCCUACGGGAGAAAGCAGGGGACCUUCGGGCCUUGCGCUAUCAGAUGAGCCUAGGUCGGAUUAGCUUGUUGGUGAGGUAAUGGCUCACCAAGGCGACGAUCCGUAACUGGUCUGAGAGGAUGAUCAGUCACACUGGAACUGAGACACGGUCCAGACUCCUACGGGAGGCAGCAGUGGGGAAUAUUGGACAAUGGGCGAAAGCCUGAUCCAGCCAUGCCGCGUGUGUGAAGAAGGUCUUCGGAUUGUAAAGCACUUUAAGUUGGGAGGAAGGGUUGUAGAUUAAUACUCUGCAAUUUUGACGUUACCGACAGAAUAAGC